AUGCUUAAAUGGGAUGUUUAGGUGCUAAUUUUAUAACUUGCAUUACUGACCCCUGUGAAUUCCCCAAAUGUUGGAAUCUCUGUUGCAUAAUUUAUGGUAGUGGGGGAUGCGUUCGCGCUCCUCCUG
RNAcentral lists this small nuclear RNA (126 nucleotides) under Paramormyrops kingsleyae. RNAcentral's name for it is "U1 spliceosomal RNA (ENSPKIG00000008270.1)". It matches the Rfam family "U1 spliceosomal RNA". From Rfam's summary of the family: U1 is a small nuclear RNA (snRNA) component of the spliceosome (involved in pre-mRNA splicing). The record is from RNAcentral. Lineage: Eukaryota; Metazoa; Chordata; Actinopteri; Osteoglossiformes; Mormyridae.